AAACCAACAGGGAUUGCCCUAGUAACGGCGAGUGAAGCGGCAACAGCUCAAAUUUGAAAUCUGGCCCUAGCGGUCCGAGUUGUAAUUUGUAGAGGAUGCUUUUGGUGAGGUGCCUUCCGAGUUCCCUGGAACGGGACGCCGGAGAGGGUGAGAGCCCCGUACGGUUGGACGCCAAACCUCUGUAUAGCUCCUUCGACGAGUCGAGUAGUUUGGGAAUGCUGCUCUAAAUGGGAGGUAAAUUUCUUCUAAAGCUAAAUACCGGCCAGAGACCGAUAGCGCACAAGUAGAGUGAUCGAAAGAUGAAAAGCACUUUGAAAAGAGGGUUAAAUAGCACGUGAAAUUGUUGAAAGGGAAGCGUUUGCGACCAGACUUUUUCCAGGCGGAUCAUCCGGCGUUCUCGCCGGUGCACUCCGCCUGGUUGAGGCCAGCAUCGGUUUCCUUAGGGGGAUAAAGGCCUGGGGAACGUAGCUCCUUCGGGAGUGUUAUAGCCCCUGGCGUAAUACCCCUCGGGGGACCGAGGAACGCGCUCUGCAAGGAUGCUGGCGUAAUGGUCGUCAACGAC
Molecule: ribosomal RNA, 562 nt
Filed under: Daldinia eschscholtzii
Lineage: Eukaryota; Fungi; Ascomycota; Sordariomycetes; Xylariales; Hypoxylaceae
Description: eukaryotic LSU rRNA
Rfam family: Eukaryotic large subunit ribosomal RNA
Source: RNAcentral